UUGGCCCCGAGCCUGGGAGGCAGUGGGCGUGGAAGGAAGUCGCUCGCGAACACCCAGGGCCCCACGCCGUCAGGCGGUGUCAGAGUCGGGGCUCGCGGACCCUGCGAACCGAGGAGCGUUUUCCUCAUUUCAUAGGUGAAGAAACUGGGGGGCGCAGCGAAGUGACGUGCCAUGGGCCACGUGUCGCAGAGGGACAGAGUGGGGAGCCAGCGUGUGAACCGGCCUUUGGCCGCAGGGGCUCCCACGUGACUGCUCUGGUGUCCCCAGCCCCUCCCGCUGGGUGAAUAUUUGCCAGACGGUAGAGCUGGAGAGCCGGUCACUGCCGACUUGUGCUAAAUUCUGUGCGCCCUCGGAGUCGGGAAAGUGGGUGUCACAGAGGGCGGGUGUUCCCGAAGGCCUGGCCCCCUCUGAGAGGCUCCGGGUCCUGGCUCGUGAGGCUGAGCCAGGAGGAGGAGGGGACCCCGCCAGAGCCCCGGGCCUGCGAGGAGAGGGCCCGUCCCCGGCCCUCCGCCGAGCCCCGUGCAUCCAGCGAGCCCAGACCGGCUUCUGUCAGCAGCAGCGCCGGGGAGCGGGCCCUGUGCUCGCGAGAAGCCGGCCCGCCCAGCCGCAUCUGCUGCGGAUUAAGGACGAUAGCUAUUGAGUCCCUGCUCAGUACCAUAACGGGAAAGAAAAACCGACCCAGCCUGAUCCUGCCCCGAAGAAGCUGGCCGCUGGAGGGGAAGAGGGACUUAGCCAAGUGCCCCGAGACCUGCCUGUGAUCACCGACGUGGGAGGUGCCCGGAGGGCAGAAGCCCUGGUGCCUCCACUGCGUUGCGGCCCUCGGGACCAAAGGGAGGAUUUCGGCUGGAGUAGAGCGUGGGGCGGGGACGUAGCCUGGUGGCAGCGGCUUCGGCUCCCCUGAUGGCAGGGGGAAGCCAGGUGUGGAGGAUGUGCACACG
Molecule: long non-coding RNA, 938 nt
Organism: Pteropus alecto (black flying fox)
Lineage: Eukaryota; Metazoa; Chordata; Mammalia; Chiroptera; Pteropodidae
Exons: 3
Source: RefSeq, a predicted model, not a curated record